GCGUACAAAAUAAUUUCAGCCGAGCUAGAAACGAAAAGUUAGAUGCAGUUUCAAACAAAUCACUUUUUAAGAACACCAGGUUCGAUAACGACACAAAAGCGCACGCCAAUACGAUGGAGGGAAGACAAAGCCAAAGUGUGCCCCGUUUCGGCAGGAAAUACCACUACGUCGGGUAUUUGGCCAGGACCGUUUUCACAUUGCCGUACCCUGACCAGAACAAACGCUUUCACCAAUUCCUUCCUCGCCGCAGCUCGUCUGUAUCCUCCACACUAACGAGGCCCUAUCUCCCCGAGUCCUGUGAAAAUCUGUGCGGAUAGUGAUCAGUACUUAGAGGAAAAGAAUGUUGAUGUCAGCUACUGUCCCUGGAAGAAUUCGAGCUCCAAGGUGAUCUAGUAAGACCAAUGGCAGCGAAUUCCAGAAUGAAGCUUGGGUCAGUGAAAACCAAGAACCAAUUCACUGCCUUCUGUCAUGACUGUUAACGAAGUUUAUGCCAAUAUCACAGUUUGGAGAGGA
Molecule: long non-coding RNA, 513 nt
Organism: Penaeus monodon (black tiger shrimp)
Lineage: Eukaryota; Metazoa; Arthropoda; Malacostraca; Decapoda; Penaeidae
Exons: 4
Source: RefSeq, a predicted model, not a curated record